RNA transcript from Gadus morhua (Atlantic cod), 1701 nucleotides. It is a transcript of the gene named coiled-coil domain containing 83, with no coding region annotated. The record is from RefSeq and is a predicted model, not a curated record. The transcript is spliced from 11 exons. NCBI's taxonomy places the organism in Eukaryota, Metazoa, Chordata, Actinopteri, Gadiformes, Gadidae.
UGUUGGCGUUUUACUUCCUUUAAAAGGUAAACAGAAAUGUUGGUAGAGGCUGCAUGCUUGCUGUAGGCGUCGGGGCUGCAGUGAGUGGAAGUGGGUGAAAGAUUAUGGUCCUAACCAUAGAUGUAUCGGAAAUGUCCGAACCAUCGGUUGACGAAAAGAACACGACUGCAAAGAGUUACAUUGAAUUCCGUGUACAGUUAAAAAGAAAAGACAUUCAGGACCUUCUCGGAGAGAUAGACCAACUAGAAACGAAGAAGCUCAGAAACGUCAAGUUGCUGCAGCAACUGAAGUCGGAGCAGGACAACCAGAUGCGUCUACUCCUGAAGCAGGUGAAAGAGCAGGAGAAGAAACUGGCGCAGAAAGAACUGGCGCACCUGAAACAACUGGAACAGGACAAAGACGCGGCACUGUCAAAGAAGGCGGAGGUGGAAGACGUCCAGAGGAGGCUGAGCGACGUGGAGAGGGAGGUCUUGGAGCGGCUGGCCCAGUGCCAGGAACUGCGGGACUACAGGGACAGGGGCGUCCAUCAGCACCAGGCCCAGAUCACACAGCUGGAGGAGGAGCACGAGCGCAUGCAGCUGGACGCCGCCACCGCCGCGGAGCACAUAAAGAGCCAGCUGUCACUGACCCUAAGGAUAAUAGAGAUGGGGACGGCCCAAGCCAUCAAGGACAACAGACUGGCUGAAGAGAUGAAAAAUAACGAGCUCAACAUGGACGAGUCGCAAAGAGCGGCCCACAGAGAUAAUGAAUGGCUACGAGAAAAGGUUUCGGCCUACAGGGAGGAAGUGUCGGCCCUGGAGCUGUCCGUGCAGGGUAUGGAGGAGGAGAACGUUGGCCAUUGUGAUUGGCUGUUUGACCAACGCCUCAAACGCCUCAGCAUCUCCCGAACAACGAGUGAAGUAGAGAAGGUCACCCGCCGGUGUCCAGAGGCCUUGGAACCCUUCAGGCUAUGUGCAGGUUGUAACGUGAUAUUUGUGUUGUGUAUGACACUUUUUUGCAUCAUUACGCAAGUCAUGUUAAUGGUUGAAUAUAGUAUUGUAGAAUAUACUAUGGUAAUAUUAUGUAAGGUUGGUCCUGGUUGGACAUCUUACCAUUUCACCCUGAUGCAUCCUUCAUGCAGACUGAGCGGCGCAAUCUUGAUUAACUUCUUCUGCAUUAUUUUGUGUGUGUAUUGUUCAAUAUAUGUUUUUUUUUUUUUAAUGAGAGGGAUAUGACAGGUUACAGCGUGUACAAUGCCCUGACAUGUAGCAACUCCUUUGCACAGGCAAUAUACUACUAGACCUGGGUCAAAACCGGGUUCAGACCUGCGAGAAAGCACCAUUCUGAAUCCAACGUCAGCAGUUGCAGGAUGUGGCGCCGCUGCAGCCAGCGACCGUCUGGAAGGGGAUGAAAUAGACAGCAGCUGCAUUGGAUCAGCGACUCCCGACCAGCUGAGGCCUCGACACAACUUGAGUGUUGGCGAGCUGCAGCAGAGGCUUCUGACCGUGGUGGGGCAGACUGCGCCGCUGCACCUGCCUCCCACUGAGGACCACCGAUGGGACGGGGGCAUGACCUACAGCAGCACGGAGGUGGCCAGCAAACCCCUCACCAUCAGACAGCUAUGAACCUAAUACACUUGGUCAUUCAUUGGCGCCAUCUAGAUCGCUUGAGUUGCAUUUCAUUCUUUAAUCAAACAUUUAUUAAAAACAUUUGCAAUUUUUA